GAUGAACGCUGGCGGCGUGCCUAAUACAUGCAAGUCGAGCGAACAGACGAGGAGCUUGCUCCUCUGACGUUAGCGGCGGACGUGUGAGUAACACGUGUAUAACCUACCUAUAAUACUGGGAUAACUUCGGGAAACCGGAGCUAAUACCGGAUAAUAUAUUGAACCGCAUGGUUCAAUAGUGAAAGACGGUUUUGCUGUCACUUAUCGAUGGAUCCGCGCCGCAUUAGCUAGUUGGUAAGGUAACGGCUUACCAAGGCAACGAUGCGUAGCCGACCUGAGAGGGUGAUCGGCCACACUGGAACUGAGACACGGUCCAGACUCCUACGGGAGGCAGCAGUAGGGAAUCUUCCGCAAUGGGCGAAAGCCUGACGGAGCAACGCCGCGUGAGUGAUGAAGGUCUUCGGAUCGUAAAACUCUGUUAUUAGGGAAGAACAAAUGUGUAAGUAACUAUGCACGUCUUGACGGUACCUAAUCAGAAAGCCACGGCUAACUACGUG
RNAcentral lists this ribosomal RNA (497 nucleotides) under uncultured bacterium. RNAcentral describes it as "partial 16S ribosomal RNA". It matches the Rfam family "Bacterial small subunit ribosomal RNA", at positions 28 to 507 of the family's 1533-position model. The record is from RNAcentral.